UACGUAGGGUGCAAGCGUUAAUCGGAAUUACUGGGCGUAAAGCGUGCGCAGGCGGUUAUGUAAGACAGGUGUGAAAUCCCCGGGCUUAACCUGGGAACUGCAUUUGUGACUGCAUAGCUAGAGUACGGUAGAGGGGGAUGGAAUUCCGCGUGUAGCAGUGAAAUGCGUAGAUAUGCGGAGGAACACCGAUGGCGAAGGCAAUCCCCUGGACCUGUACUGACGCUGAGACGCGAAAGCGUGGGGAGCGAACAGG
Molecule: ribosomal RNA, 253 nt
Filed under: uncultured bacterium
Lineage: Bacteria
Description: partial 16S ribosomal RNA
Rfam family: Bacterial small subunit ribosomal RNA
Source: RNAcentral